RNAcentral lists this ribosomal RNA (463 nucleotides) under uncultured bacterium. RNAcentral describes it as "partial 16S ribosomal RNA". It matches the Rfam family "Bacterial small subunit ribosomal RNA", at positions 28 to 507 of the family's 1533-position model. The record is from RNAcentral.
GAUGAACGCUGACAGAAUGCUUAACACAUGCAAGUCUUUGGCGAAGCUGUGCUUGCACAGCCUAGCCAAGGCGGACGGGUGAGUAACGCGUAAGGAACUUGCCCUGCAGUCAGGGAUAGCAGACGGAAACGACUGAUAAGACCUGGUAAAGUCAGGCGGACUCAUGUCCAGCCUGAUGAAAAGAGAUGCUGCAGGAGAGCCUUGCGUCCUAUUAGCUUGUUGGUGGGGUAACGGCCCACCAAGGCGAUGAUAGGUAGCCGGCCUGAGAGGGUGGACGGCCACAAGGGGACUGAGAUACGGCCCUUACUCCUACGGGAGGCAGCAGUGGGGAAUAUUGGACAAGGGGGGCAACCCUGAUCAAGCAAUUCUGUGUGCAAGAUGAAGGUUUUCGGAGUGUAAAGUGCUUUCAGCAGGGAAGAAAAAAAUGACGGUACCUGCAGAAGAAGCGACGGCUAAAUACGUG